UCAUCUUUUUCGCACCGGUUCAAACCGAUGCGAAUUAAAAAAGAGGAAAAGAAGGGAGAAAGGGAUUUCGCAUCGGUUCAGACCAAACCGGUGCGAAAUAGUGUUUUAGCAUCGGUUCAAACUGGUGCAAAAUAAAAAAAAAAAAAAAACCGUGCAGUGUAUGUAUAUCUUCUUCUUUCUUUCUUUCCCCCUGCUUUUUCAUCUUCUUUUUUCCCUCGUUUUCGCCUUCUCUUCAACCACCUCUGAAUUUUCACCUUCUCCAUUGAGCUUUUUCACUCCAUUGAAGCAGCCGCACCUCCUUCUCUCUCCAUAUCUCUCCUCCAUCUCCAUUGAAGUAGAUUCUGAGCUUUCUCACCUCCAUUGAAGCAGCUUCGAGGGUUUGUCAUUGAAGCACGCACAACUCCACCUCCACCACAACGGCCUCCUUGUCACGGCGGCACGACCUUCUUUUUCUAGGGUUUAUCGUUAAUUCCCCCCUUUUUCUUCGAUCUCCUUUUCCGCCACUGCGCCGCAAGUGUUUCCAUUGAUGGCUAGGGUUUUCAAAAACAUUUUUCAUUCAAUAUCUGCAAUUUUAUCGUCCUUCUCAUCGCUGCUCAUGUCAUAGCUUUGGUGUACUGAAUUUUCAGAGUUGCAACUGAGAAGCAGCAACAAUUUCCUGGAAGAUCCAGAAAACACUGAUUUUGCCUCCUUGUGCAUUGUUCUGAAGGCAUUUCAUUAUCCCGUGACAAUCACAUUGAUUCAAUUUGUUGUUGGGUCAGUGCUUGUUACCUUCAUGUGGAUGUUCAAUCUGUAUAAGAAGCCAAAAGUUAGCGCUGGGCAGAGAGUGAUAGGCCAGUUCUUGUCAUCAAGGGUCCAAAUGGAAGAAUUAAUAGAGCUAUUUGGGGGCCUUUAAACAGCACUAUAAUUAGUUGUGGCGAAGAUGCUAUCAUCCGUGUCUGGGAUCUUGUGGCAGGCCAAGAGAUGAUGUCUACAAAGGACCAUAAAUAUGGUCACACGAAAGCAAUUACAUCACUUUUGUCUAUCUGCAGACAAGUCACAUUUCCUUACUGGCUCUCUGGAUAAAUUAGCAAAGCUCUAGGACACAAGGACUUUAACUCUCCUUAAAUCCUACAGUACAGAGCGACUUGUGAAUGCUGUUACCAUGUCUCCUUUACUGGACCAUGUAUGUUACUUUAAUUUUCAUUUUCAUUUAUUUUAUUUCUUCUGAUUUGUUGUUUCCAGUUUUACUAGCUGUGUGGUGUUUAUAUUUUCACUGCUCCUGUUUUCCCAUGGUAUAUUUCCUUAGGGCAAGAAAUUUGGUAUCUGAAUGGUUUUCACUACAGGAUGUUUGAUGACUUGGUGAGUCUUAAGCCUCAACUGGAUCAUCAUAUAUCUCACUUUGUACUCGUAUCACCAUAGUUAUGUUAGAUAGCAGUUAGCAUGAUGAAUGAGAGAUGUCGGGAUUGAUUUAUUGCUACCCUAUAUGAUAUGCUUUUAAUUUGUUAUAAGGCUUUGAAUGCAGUUUACUUAUUCCCUGUAGUUUUGUGGUCUGAUUUCUAGUUUACACUUUCUGCCUUAACAUGUGUGUGAAAUUGUAUACCAUUCUGAGAAAGGAGAUUAAAAUUCUACUUAGAUAAUUGUUUCAUAUUUCUAAUGAUAUGCAUUUUAUGAAGUCUUAGGAAGACUAUGACAUGAGUACAUUGCCAAGUCUUUACAUUGUCACUUGCUGAGAUGUAUUUAGUGUAUUUACAAUAGAAAUAAUUUAGGAUGGUGGGCCUUAAAUAGAUAUUUAGUUGAGCUGCAAAAUGCUUUAUAAGCUCAUGGUUACCUAGUCUCUCUAAAGAAUCAAGAGAGGAAAAAGUUUUUUUUUUUUUUUUUUUAUUUUAUUUUUUAUAUUUAUUUUUUGAGGGGGCAGGAUGGAAAGUUAAAAUUUCUGUCUUGUUAUUGGUUGACAGCAACUUGCUACGUAUCGCUAUUACUAUAAAAGCUUUGCAGACCUAGAGGCUCAGACUUAACUUCUGAGAGAUUAAACCCUUUAUAUGCACACCCUUGUACACUUUACAAAUCCCUCCCCUCUUUUUUUUUUUUUUAAGUUGAUAAAUCUUCCUUGGUAGAAAUAUACAAACAGUACAUAAAUGAAAGGAGUUUUUAUCUAUGCUUUUGCAACUCAGGAAUUAAAGUGCUUCCCUACUCUUCAAUAUGAGAUAGCAUCAGCUGCAAAUUCAGCACUAAUGAGGUUUUGUGAAGAGAGCAAAAAGACAACUUUGCGGUUAGUAGAGAUAGUAUCCUCAUAUAUCACUCCUGAUUUCUUUUGAAAGCUCUCUGCAACAAAUGUGGUUCCAUAUACAGAAGCUUACUACCUAAAGAUUAGCUCGAAUGUGGCCUCUUAUGUCAAUAUGGUGUCAGAAACACUAAAGAACUCAAUUCCUAAGGCUGUGGUGUAUUGCCAAGUCAGGCAGGCAAAGCUUUCAUUACUGAAUCAGUUUUGCUUGCAACUCGGUAGGAAAGAGGUAAUCUAAGUAUCUAACAGUCAAAUCUUAUUCUGGUAUUUGUUAAAUUGGUUCAAUUGGUUUGAUGUCUAUGACAAAAUGCGCUUCGAAUUAUUGGUUCAAUUUAUUUGGUUUUUCCGUAUCUGUUUUUCCUCGAACCUAGACAUUGAAUGAUUAACUUCAGUCCUUGGUUACAAUGUUGCAUCCCUCACUAGGUUGUUUUGAGUUUAAAUUACCCUGUGCCUAUUCCCUUAAGAAUCGUAUUCCCGCUUUUAAAAUAAAGCCUUACAUUUUGGUGUUGCUUGUUUUGGAGGGAGCUUUUCGAGCUAGCUUGCAGGGGACUUCCACAAAUGAGCUCCAAUUUUGUGUUAAAAGUGCCAGCAAUACAAACGAGCAAUGGCAGCAGCAAGGAACAACAACAACACACAACCAGCAAGCCAUAACCAAAGCAGCAACAACAGUACAGCAGCAGCACCACAAGAGAAAAACAAACAGCAGCUAGCAACCCACCCAGCACCCCACAGCAACUCAUCCAUCACCAUGAAGGCAUAUAUGAACAAAUUACAGAGUAAUUUCAUAUACAGAAUUUUCUUUUAUUUAAUUUUUUUGGACGAAAAUUGUAAUAUUACGGCUUUUUUUAAU
Molecule: long non-coding RNA, 3110 nt
Organism: Chenopodium quinoa (quinoa)
Lineage: Eukaryota; Viridiplantae; Streptophyta; Magnoliopsida; Caryophyllales; Amaranthaceae
Exons: 8
Source: RefSeq, a predicted model, not a curated record